UUUUAUGUAAAAAUGUAUUUUAGAAUAGUAAAUUGAUGUGAAAUAUAUGGUUGAAAAAUAAGAAAAAGUUUUUAAUUUACGUGUAAUAUUAUUUUAAUAAAGAAUGUGUGGUUGAAAAGAAGAAAGAGAAAAAUGUAUUUUGAAAAAAAAUAGCUGCCAAACGGGGCCUAAAAUAGGACUCCGAGGACUAUAACUCCAAAAAAUCCACUUUAAAAGCCUUACCACUUGGUAUGCGAGGUAGAAGAAUGCAGGAAGAGUUUGCAUGAAGUAAGAUGCAAACCAUUCCUUUGUCCAUGCUGGCCACAGGCUGUCAAGAUGCAAAUAAAGCAUGCCACUUGUAACGGAAUUAGUUACUAAUAAGCCAACAAGGAACUGCCAUCUGUAGUUUUAUAAAAAGACCAAACUAUCCCAAGGCUCGGAGGAAAAUUUAUAAAUACCCCCCCAUUGAAGACAACUAUGUGUAAUUUAAAUUUCUCCAUCUCAAAUAGCGAUAUUCCCUCAUGUUCCAAUUUGAGCAUUAAAACUAGUGAGUUAAGGAAGUUAAAAUCAUAGCUAUGUGAGUAGGAUUUGUUGAUCAUGUUUAUAUCGUCAACACUAGAUAAGUGUUCAAAAUGCAUUUAUCACCAUCCAAGCCAUCAGUAAGAAAUUACACAACUUGAAAGUUAUAUAUCAAGUCAACUGGAAAAAAUUUACUUGCUAUCUGCAACUUGUUCCAUUUCUGCUUCACCAUCUUCUUUAUUCUCAUCCUCAAACAACAAUUACAUUGAAAUGUCCAGAGUCCUCCUUAUCACUUCCUGACUACCCUAUUAGUUUUACUCAUUGAUUGUGGCUUAGAUGCAAUUUAAAUUGGCACGAAAGCAAACACUCGGAAGGACUACUUACUGAAAUGUUAUCAGUUUGGAGGUUGAAAAGUGAUUCUUUUUAUUCUAAAGCAAGUUUUCUUCAAUUAAUGCUUUGGUGAUCAAGCAAUAUUCAUGGGUUUGAGACACCCCAGUAUUUAACAAGCAGUGUAGUGAUGGCUAGAAGAGCUCUUUUAAGGGCAAUGCAUUUGGCUCUUUAAUUUUUCAAGUUUAGUUGUCAAAUUAAAAUAACAUCUUUGCACUAAAUCAAGAUGUGUUCAAAUUGAUAACUGGGAAAUGAAAAUGCAGUGCCCUUAUUUUUACAGCUAGAGGAUUUGUCAUUAAAACUCAAGUCUUACCGAACAAAGGGAUUAGUGUCUCACUUGUGUUUUCUAUUGUCCUAUGUUCAUACAAAUUUGCAACAAACCUAGACAAAUAGCAUCCCAACUCCCACUAGUAUAACCAAUUCACAUUGUCAUGAUUGGUCAAGAAUUGUUGUUUCCACAACCAAGGGCAACGGUUAAGGGACCAAUAUCCUUCGUCUCUCUAAUCCCCUCAAGAUAAAAAUGUAAGAAAAAUACUUUUAACUAUCAAACAAACAAUCCACCCUCUCCUAACUAUGGUAAGGAGAAAAUGAAAAAUAAUCUCUUUGCAAAACACUGCUUUCUUGUCAGAAAACCAUUAGGCCUAACUAUUUCAGUGAAGGUCGAGUCCUGCAAAAGUGCACAAAGAUAACGUAAAAAGAUAUUGAUAACAGAAGUACAUACAGAUUUGGACUUCAUUGAAGAAACAUUGCCAACACUGCUCACUUCUCUACCGUGGUAAGGCUCAAAGGCUUAAGUCACAGGAUAUACUAUAGAAAAAAAAAAUAAUAAUAAUAAUAAUCAAAUGUGUACAACCUAUUUCUGAUCAGUUACAAUACACUAGGAAAACAUCAUCAAGGCCACACAUUUUCAAAAGAAUCAGAAAGCACAAUAUUUUGUAAAUCUGAUUGUCAAAUACAAAAUCCAACCAGCAUCAACUAACUAACAGGGCAUGCCAACCAUUGUUCUGAGAGUUUGGAGGCAAUAACAAAUAAACCAAGAUCAUCUACUGCUAUGGUUAGAAAUUUGGACUGCCAGGAUAAUACAGAAAGCUUCCAAGAAAAGCCAUAAAAAGGUUUGGAUACAUAAAUUCAUAUUGACCAACUUCAAAAUAUCCUUAUUCGAAAGAAAAAAGUGUUUUGAGUCAAGUAAAAAAAUACUAGCAUAAAAGAUGCCAUUCUCGCACUACAGCAAUUCAAGAAAACAUCACCAAAAAAGAUUAUGUUAACAGGAAUACGAAAUUAAAGUAAGCAAAAAUAGACAAAUAAAAAGACAGUUUUUCUUCCACCUACCAACCCAGUACCAAAGAUACAUCUGGAUAUAUUCGAGUCUUUGCAAUUCGAUUCUGCAAUAAUACAAAUCACAUAGGAAAUGCAGCAGGAUACAAACCCAAUAUAUUUGUCAAAAAGCAUGUGUAAUAUUUGGAAUCAUCUAAAUAAUGUAGUCCUAACCAUUUGUAUUCCGACAAUUCAUAAAAAGGUAUAAUUUUUCCCUGUACAUUAAACAUCGAAAUUGCUACAUUGAAAAAAUACAGGAAUCGAGCACAAAAGCUCAAAGAGCGUCAUAUCCAUUAAUAGGUGCCAAAACGACAUUAUUAAAAGGAGAUUUAGAAGAACAUCAAAAUAAAAGGCAAAACAGUGCAACAACUACAAAGAUGUUAUUUUAAUUUUACAACUAAAUAAAAAAUCAAAUCUACAAAUGAAUUCUAUGCUCAACCAGCGAUCUCAGCAAAAGUUGGCUUAAUUCCAAAAUUCUUUUUACUGAAUUCAAUUUCAGAACUAGUCCACAUGGAGAGUAAAAAUAUAAAGAUUUUUUUUAAAAAUUUGAUCGAGCAACACAUGUUAUACCUUAAAAAAAAUUCAUUUGAAAAUGGUGAAGGCCCUGGAGUUGCUUUCGUAAUUACAGUUCCUUCCCAUCCCAUCUCAUGCUUCCUUCGCCAAUGUCGACUUGCUUGAAUCGUCCGUUUCCGGUCUCAGCUUCAAAUUGAUUCAUCUUCAAAUUGUUUGCAAAAUAAAACCCUAAGCUAAAUACACGCGACGAAUUUACAUAAAUACCCUUCGGUCGCCUUGAAUUAAACACCC
RNAcentral lists this long non-coding RNA (3003 nucleotides) under Olea europaea subsp. europaea. Lineage: Eukaryota; Viridiplantae; Streptophyta; Magnoliopsida; Lamiales; Oleaceae. The record is from RNAcentral.